CGUGAGGGAAAGGUGAAAAGAACCCCUAAAGGGGAGUGAAAUAGAACUGAAACCGUAUGCUUACAAGCCGUUGGAGCAAUUUAUUGUGACAGCGUGCCUAUUGAAGAAUGAGCCGGCGAGUUAAUUUAUGUAGCAAGGUUAAGAUAUUAAGUAUUGGAGCCGAAGCGAAAGCGAGUCUGAAUAGGGCGUUUAGUUGCAUGGAUUAGACCCGAAACCGUGUGAGCUACCCAUGACCAGGGUGAAGCGAAAUUAACGUUUCGUGAAGGCCCGAACCCUUGUACGCUGCAAAGUGCUGGGAUGAGUUGUGGGUAGAGGAGAAAUUCCAAACGAACACGGAGAUAGCUGGUUCUCCCCGAAAUGUAUUUAGGUACAGCCUUAGGUAUUAACUGAUGGAGGUAGAGCACUGGAUGAGCUAGCGGGCGCAAGUUUAGCAAACUCAACCAAACUAAGAAUGCCAUCAGCCGAAUCCUAGGAGUGAGACAGUGACGGAUAAGCGCCAUUGUCGAAAGGGAAACAGCCCAGAUCGCAAGCUAAGGUCCCAAAGUUAUAGUUAAGUGGUAAAGGAGGUUGGAUCGCCCAGACAGCUAGUAGGUUGGCUUAGAAGCAGCCAUCCUUUAAAGAGUGCGUAAUAGCUCACUAGUCGAGGGGUUCUGCGCCGAAAAUUAUCGGGGCUAAACUAUACACCGAAGCUGCGGGAUUCUUUAUGAAUCGGUAGGGGAGCGUUCUCAAUGCACUGAAUCUGAAUUGUGAAAUUUGGUGGAGCGUUGAGAAGUGAGAAUGUCGGCAUGAGUAGCGACAAUCUUUGUGAGAAUCAAAGACACCGGAAGUCCGAGGUUUCCUACGCAACGUUGAUCGGCGUAGGGUUAGUCGGUCCUAAGGAGAAGCCGAAAGGUGAAUUCGAUGGACAGCUGGUCAAAAUUCCAGCACCGUAAUUAUCCUGUUAUGCAACGAAGGGACGCGAUAAGGACUGUUAAGCAUGCCUAUGGACAUGGUGUGUGGGGCCUUGUAGGGAAGUGAUUGUGGUUAAAAGAACAGUUACGUUAUUAACUGAGAAGGUUUCAGACCUUAAGGCUUCGGCCUUAGGGAAUUUAACACGAACUAUGUCGCCAAGAAAAGCUUCGUUGAUAGGGAUAUUAUGACCGUACCGAAAACCGACACAGGUGGACAGGGGUAAAAGCCCCAAGGUGAACGAGAAAACCAUCCUCAAGGAACUCGGCAAAUUAACCCCGUAACUUCGGAAUAAGGGGAGCCUAAAAUAUAUAGACUUCGCGUUGAAAGUAUUUUAGGCCGCAGAGAAUUGGUCUGAGCGACUGUUUAUCAAAAACACAGGUCCGUGCUAAAGCGAAAGCUGAUGUAUACGGGCUGACGCCUGCCCAGUGCCGGUAGGUUAAAGUGAAGAGUGAGAGCUUUGAUCUGAAGCCCCGGUGAACGGCGGCCGUAACUAUAACGGUCCUAAGGUAGCGAAAUCCCUUGUCGGGUAAGUUCCGACCUGCACGAAAGGCGUAACGACUUGGACACUGUCUCGAGGGUGGACUCGGUGAAAUUGCAUGACCCGUAAAGAUGCGGGUUACGCGCAGCAGGACAAAAAGACCCCGUGGAGCUUUACUGUAGCUUGGCAUUGAAUUGUGAUUAAUGAUGUGUAGGAUAGGCGGGAGACUAUGAAUUUUGAGCGUCAGCUCAAUUGGAGUCGCCCUUGAAAUACCGCCCUUCUUUGGUCUUGAUUCUAACUUUUUUAGGACAGUGUCUGGUAGGCAGUUUGACUGGGGCGGUCGCCUCCUAAAAUGUAACGGAGGCGCCCAAAGGUAACCUCAGGCUGGAUGGAAAUCAGCUUUUGAGUGCAUUGGCAUAAGGUUGCUUGACUGCGAGACCAACAAGUCGAGCAGGGACGAAAGUCGGGCAAAGUGAUCCCACGGUACCGAGUGGAAGGGCCGUGGCUUAACGGAUAAAAGCUACCCCGGGGAU
RNAcentral lists this ribosomal RNA (1962 nucleotides) under marine metagenome. RNAcentral's name for it is "bacterial LSU rRNA". It matches the Rfam family "Bacterial large subunit ribosomal RNA", at positions 502 to 2475 of the family's 2925-position model. The record is from RNAcentral.